RNAcentral lists this transfer RNA (79 nucleotides) under Hydrogenibacillus sp. Its description in RNAcentral is "tRNA-Lys". The stretch from base 8 to 71 matches the Rfam family "tRNA", at positions 5 to 66 of the family's 71-position model. Rfam says of the family: Transfer RNA (tRNA) molecules are approximately 80 nucleotides in length. Their secondary structure includes four short double-helical elements and three loops (D, anti-codon, and T loops). The record is from RNAcentral. Lineage: Bacteria; Bacillati; Bacillota; Bacilli; Thermicanales; Thermicanaceae.
GGGCCUUCUUUAGCUCAGCUGGUAGAGCACCUGACUCUUAAUCAGGGUGUCCAGGGUUCGAGUCCCUGAAGGCCCACCA